Molecule: long non-coding RNA, 616 nt
Organism: Lycium barbarum (goji berry)
Lineage: Eukaryota; Viridiplantae; Streptophyta; Magnoliopsida; Solanales; Solanaceae
Exons: 3
Source: RefSeq, a predicted model, not a curated record
GAAAAAUUUAGAAGGAGAAAAACAAAGAAACAAGAGCAAGAACAUAAGGGUCAUACGGCCAAGCUCUUGAAAUUUUGUCCCUUUGAAAUCUUUCUCCAAAAAUUAUUUUUUGUGGUAUUUCCACUAAUUCAAGGGUCCUUUACAACUUGGUGUAAUUAUUUUGGAAGAAAGAGCACUUGUUUCUUCAAGUUGACAACUUGGUCAAGUGAAGAAGAUUGUAGAAAAAGAUUUUGGCGAACUUGAAACUUGAUUUUGGAGACGUGUAUGAAGCGGAAAAGGUCAGCAGACAGGUGGACGUGAUCCUUAGAAGCUCUACCAGCCGCACUUGACAGCGCUCCAGUUGUUCCGGAGCCUCACUCCAGCGGUACUAUUUUAUGCAUAUACAUUCGGGCUUGGUAGCACCCCGACCCUUUCUAUGUAUAAGUGUACUAUGUCUAGAGGCUCGUAGACAGAUACGUACAGUCAGUCAGGUACAGAUAUAUGUAUAGUGUUUUGGCAUGUUAAUAUUGUUGUACAAGGUAAUAACGGAGUUUAUUAGUUUAUGUUCAAGGAAAAAAAAAUGGCUCGGUUUACACGGCUUGCUAAGAGGUACAGGUAAUACGAUAGAUAAGGGGUG